CCUACGGGGGGCUGCAGUCUAGAGGCUUCGACAAUGCCCGAAAGGGUGAUCGAGCGACGCCGCGUGUGGGAUGAAGGUUUUCGGAUUGUAAACCACUUUUGUUUGGGAAGAAGGCUUGUAUCGUGAAUAUGAGAUUGACGGUACCAAACGAAUAAGCCCCGGCUAACUCCGUGCCAGCAGCCGCGGUAAGACGGAGGGGGCAAGCGUUGUUCGGAAUCAUUGGGCGUAAAGGGCUCGUAGGCGGACUAGCAAGUCUGACGUGAAAUCUCCACCGC
RNAcentral lists this ribosomal RNA (275 nucleotides) under uncultured bacterium. Its description in RNAcentral is "partial 16S ribosomal RNA". It matches the Rfam family "Bacterial small subunit ribosomal RNA", at positions 338 to 608 of the family's 1533-position model. The record is from RNAcentral.